Molecule: ribosomal RNA, 442 nt
Filed under: uncultured bacterium
Lineage: Bacteria
Description: partial 16S ribosomal RNA
Rfam family: Bacterial small subunit ribosomal RNA
Source: RNAcentral
CCUACGGGAGGCAGCAGUGGGGAAUAUUGCACAAUGGGGGAAACCCUGAUGCAGCAACGCCGCGUGAAGGAAGAAGGCAUUCGGGUUGUAAACUUCUUUUAAGAGGGAAGAGCAGAAGACGGUACCUCUUGAAUAAGCCACGGCUAACUACGUGCCAUCAGCGGCGGCAAUACGUAGGUGGCAAGCGUUGUCCGGAUUUACUGGGUGUAAAGGGCGUGCAGCCGGGAAGACAAGUCAGAUGGGAAAUCCCGCGGCUCAACCGCGGACCUGCAUUUGAAACUGUUUUUCUUGAGUACCGGAGAGGUCAUCGGAAUGCCUUGUGUAGCGGUGAAAUGCGUAGAUAUAAGGAAGAACACCAGUGGCGAAGGCGGAUGACUGGACGGCAACUGACGGUGAGGCGCGAAAGCGUGGGGAGCAAACAGGAUUAGAUACCCCGGUAGUC